Molecule: ribosomal RNA, 468 nt
Filed under: uncultured bacterium
Lineage: Bacteria
Description: partial 16S ribosomal RNA
Rfam family: Bacterial small subunit ribosomal RNA
Source: RNAcentral
GACGAACGCUGGCGGCGUGCUUAACACAUGCAAGUCGAACGGAAAGGCCCUGCUUUUGUGGGGUGCUCGAGUGGCGAACGGGUGAGUAACACGUGAGUAACCUGCCCUUGACUUUGGGAUAACUUCAGGAAACUGGGGCUAAUACCGGAUAGGAGCUCCUGCUGCAUGGUGGGGGUUGGAAAGUUUCGGCGGUUGGGGAUGGACUCGCGGCUUAUCAGCUUGUUGGUGGGGUAGUGGCUUACCAAGGGUUUGACGGGUAGCCGGCCUGAGAGGGUGACCGGCCACAUUGGGACUGAGAUACGGCCCAGUGUCCUACGGGAGGCAGCAGUGGGGAAUAUUGCACAAUGGGCGGAAGCCUGAUGCAGCAACGCCGCGUGCGGGAUGACGGCCUUCGGGUUGUAAACCGCUUUCGCCUGUGACGAAGCGUGAGUGACGGUAAUGGGUAAAGAAGCACCGGCUAACUACGUG